This 514-nucleotide ribosomal RNA is filed under the name uncultured bacterium. RNAcentral describes it as "partial 16S ribosomal RNA". It matches the Rfam family "Bacterial small subunit ribosomal RNA", at positions 355 to 861 of the family's 1533-position model. The record is from RNAcentral.
UGGGGAAUUUUGGACAAUGGGCGAAAGCCUGAUCCAGCAAUGCCGCGUGUGUGAAGAAGGCCUUCGGGUUGUAAAGCACUUUUGUCCGGAAAGAAAUCCUUGGCUCUAAUACAGUCGGGGGAUGACGGUACCGGAAGAAUAAGCACCGGCUAACUACGUGCCAGCAGCCGCGGUAAUACGUAGGGUGCAAGCGUUAAUCGGAAUUACUGGGCGUAAAGCGUGCGCAGGCGGUUUGCUAAGACCGAUGUGAAAUCCCGGGCUCAACCUGGGAACUGCAUUGGUGACUGGCAGGCUAGAGUAUGGCAGAGGGGGGUAGAAUUCCACGUGUAGCAGUGAAAUGCGUAGAGAUGUGGAGGAAUACCGAUGGCGAAGGCAGCCCCCUGGGCCAAGUACUGACGCUCAUGCACGAAAGCGUGGGGGAGCAAACAGGAUUAGAUACCCCUGGUAGUCCACGCCCUAAACGAUGUCACUAGUUGUUGGGGAUUCAUUUCCUUAGUAACGUAGCUAACGCGUG